RNAcentral lists this ribosomal RNA (384 nucleotides) under uncultured bacterium. Its description in RNAcentral is "bacterial SSU rRNA". It matches the Rfam family "Bacterial small subunit ribosomal RNA", at positions 30 to 416 of the family's 1533-position model. The record is from RNAcentral.
AUUGAACGCUGGCGGCAUGCCUUACACAUGCAAGUCGAACGGUAACGGGCCUUCGGGUGCCGACGAGUGGCGAACGGGUGAGUAAUGCAUCGGAACGUACCUUUCAGUGGGGGAUAACGUAGCGAAAGUUACGCUAAUACCGCAUACUCUGUGAGCAGGAAAGCAGGGGAUCGCAAGACCUUGCGCUGAUUGAGCGGCCGAUGUCAGAUUAGCUAGUUGGUGAGGUAAAGGCUCACCAAGGCGACGAUCUGUAGCGGGUCUGAGAGGAUGAUCCGCCACACUGGAACUGAGACACGGUCCAGACUCCUACGGGAGGCAGCAGUGGGGAAUUUUGGACAAUGGGGGCAACCCUGAUCCAGCCAUGCCGCGUGAGUGAAGAAGGCC